Long non-coding RNA from Oncorhynchus keta (chum salmon), 2627 nucleotides. RefSeq lists it as uncharacterized. The transcript has 6 exons. NCBI's taxonomy places the organism in Eukaryota, Metazoa, Chordata, Actinopteri, Salmoniformes, Salmonidae. The record is from RefSeq and is a predicted model, not a curated record.
UGUGUGUGUGUGUGUGUGUGUGUGUGUGUGUGUGUGUGUGUGUGUGUGUCAGGUCACACACACGACUAUUAAUAUAGCCCCCCCGUUAACACUUUGUUGUGGCGUCAACCCGGCGCCAGACAAGCUCAGAGAUGUCCAGAUUUGAGCUCUGCCAGUGUUUCUGAAUAACUGUAAGGCCUUACCAGGCGGUCUGGUUGAAUGAAUCUCUUCUUCCUGAGUCGAUACUUCUGAAUCUGACAGGGGGAAACGUACCUUCUCGGUAUACCACCACCCAGCUUCUCAUUUAGAAACAGCCUAUGUGGUAUGAAUAAAACUCAGAAGUAUUUAUUAUACCGUCUAAAUCGACUACAGAGGGAAAAGAGGAUCAUUUUGGUCAAUGUCAGUCUCGUCCAAAACUGAAUCACAACGUAGAUGACGGUUGGGUUUGUUUUGUUAGGUUCUAAUUCUCGGAGUAAUAAACUCCACGGACAUUAUGAAAGCUUAACCAAGUUAAUUCUCCCAGAGGAUCAAUACAUUCAGACAAAACAUGUUUCCACCAACACAGUAUAUAUACUCCAGUUUAGAUGCUCUCCUCCUUCUCUCCAACCCUUUAGAUCUGUUAUGGUUCGACAGGAAGAGGAAGUGAUAGGGUUAAACCAUUCCUCCUCCCUUAAGGUGACCUGACCUGACCUCAACCCCCUUGAUGCCUAAUCCAAAGCUCUCUCCCCUUAUCAAUGCCUGCCACAUGUGAUCCCUUCCCUGCACUCAAUAUUUCUAUAGGAUACCUGACAUAAUGUAAAGGUUAUACAUUACCCUCUCUCCCUCAGUGACAUAUCCUGACAUAAUGUAAAGGUUAUACAUUACCCUCUCUCCCUCAGUGACAUAUCCUGACAUAAUGUAAAGGUUAUACAUUACCCUCUCUCCCUCAGUGACAUAUCCUGACAUAAUGUAAAGGUUAUACAUUACCCUCUCUCCCUCAGUGACAUAUCCUGACAUAAUGUAAAGGUUAUACAUUACCCUCUCUCCCUCAGUGACAUAUCCUGACAUAAUGUAAAGGUUAUACAUUACCCUCUCUCCCUCAGUGACAUAUCCUGACAUAAUGUAAAGGUUAUACAUUACCCUCUCUCCCUCAGUGACAUAUCCUGACAUAAUGUAAAGGUUAUACAUUACCCUCUCUCCCUCAGUGACAUAUCCUGACAUAAUGUAAAGGUUAUACAUUACCCUCUCUCCCUCAGUGACAUAUCCUGACAUAAUGUAAAGGUUAUACAUUACCCUCUCUCCCUCAGUGACAUAUCCUGACAUAAUGUAAAGGUUAUACAUUACCCUCUCUCCCUCAGUGACAUAUCCUGACAUAAUGUAAAGGUUAUACAUUACCCUCUCUCCCUCAGUGACAUAUCCUGACAUAAUGUAAAGGUUAUACAUUACCCUCUCUCCCUCAGUGACAUAUCCUGACAUAAUGUAAAGGUUAUACAUUACCCUCUCUCCCUCAGUGACAUAUCCUGACAUAAUGUAAAGGUUAUACAUUACCCUCUCUCCCUCAGUGACAUAUCCUGACAUAAUGUAAAGGUUAUACAUUACCCUCUCUCCCUCAGUGACAUAUCCUGACAUAAUGUAAAGGUUAUACAUUACCCUCUCUCCCUCAGUGACAUAUCCUGACAUAAUGUAAAGGUUAUACAUUACCCUCUCUCCCUCAGUGACAUAUCCUGACAUAAUGUAAUGGUUAUACAUUACCCUCUCUCCCUCAGUGACAUAUCCUGACAUAAUGUUAUACAUUACCCUCUCUCCCUCAGUGACAUAUCCUGACAUAAUGUAAAGGUUAUACAUUGCCCUCUCUCCCUCAGUGACAUAUCCUGACAUAAUGUUAUACAUUACCCUCUCUCCCUCAGUGACAUAUCCUGACAUAAUGUAAAGGUUAUACAUUACCCUCUCUCCCUCAGUGACAUAUCCUGACAUAAUGUAAAGGUUAUACAUUACCCUCUCUCCCUCAGUGACAUAUCCUGACAUAAUGUAAAGGUUAUACAUUACCCUCUCUCCCUCAGUGACAUAUCCUGACAUAAUGUAAAGGUUAUACAUUACCCUCUCUCCCUCAGUGACAUAUCCUGACAUAAUGUAAAGGUUAUACAUUACCCUCUCUCCCUCAGUGACAUAUCCUGACAUAAUGUAAAGGUUAUACAUUACCCUCUCUCCCUCAGUGACAUAUCCUGACAUAAUGUAAAGGUUAUACAUUACCCUCUCUCCCUCAGUGACAUAUCCUGACAUAAUGUAAUGGUUAUACAUUACCCUCUCUCCCUCAGUGACAUAUCCUGACAUAAUGUAAAGGUUAUACAUUACCCUCUCUCCCUCAGUGGCAUAUCCUGACAUAAUGUAAUGGUUAUACAUUACCCUCUCUCCCUCAGUGACAUAUCCUGACAUAAUGUUACCCUCUCUCCUCAGUGACAUAUCCUGACAUAAUGUAAAGGUUAUACAUUACCCUCUCUCCCUCAGUGACAUAUCCUGACAUAAUGUUAUACAUUACCCUCUCUCCCUCAGUGACAUAUCCUGACAUAAUGUGAAGGUUAUACAUUACCCUCUCUCCCUCAGUGACAUAUCCUGACAUAAUGUGAAGGUUAUACAUUACCCUCUCUCCCUCAGUGACAUAUCCUGACAUA